This 339-nucleotide small RNA is filed under the name Pan troglodytes (chimpanzee). RNAcentral describes it as "processed transcript". The record is from RNAcentral. Lineage: Eukaryota; Metazoa; Chordata; Mammalia; Primates; Hominidae.
AAGGCUCUUCGAUCAAGAACAUAACUAGGAAUCAUUCGAGGUGAUUCAAGGACUUUGACUACAUCAUUUCAUUCUCUUAUGGCCUACAAGGUUUCUGCUGAGAAAUCCACUGAUAUUCUAAUGGAUAUUCCUUUGGACACCAAUGAGUUGUGUCUUCCCUCUGUCCACUCUCAGCACCUUCACUCUGAAGAUCUGUUAAAAGCACACGAGUCGUCUCAGUCCCUCAGUGGGAGCUGUUUCACCUGGCGUCAUCUAGUCAGCCAUCUUCAAUAAUAACUGUUAAAUGAACAUUUAUAUCCACUGAAACCACUAAGUGAAAUAAAGAUGUGUUUAGGCAAA